This 251-nucleotide long non-coding RNA is filed under the name Homo sapiens (human). RNAcentral describes it as "non-protein coding lnc-RAB28-4:2". Lineage: Eukaryota; Metazoa; Chordata; Mammalia; Primates; Hominidae. The record is from RNAcentral.
CCAGAAGGAGUCAGAUGCAUGCAUUCUGCUUCCUAGGAACGAAAAAGAUGGAUUUGAUGUCGUGAAAUGGCAAUUCUAAAACUCAGGAGAUAUGUUGGUGUUUCUGAGCUCUUACUCCAGUGUCCACUUGUCCAUAGAAUCACCUUUCACUUCUGGGGUCAGAGGGACAGCUCCUGGAAUGAUCUCUCAUCUUACGGCAAAAAGGUAAGAGAACUUGGCUGGGCACAGUGGAUCACUCAUGUGAUUCAAGC